AUGGUUCAAACGGUACAUGACAAAGAAAGAAGAAAAUGGUUAGAAAACAAUUCAUAUUUGAACAUAAACAUGAAAUUAUCAAAGAGUAUUUUCACAGUUUCAGCAUUAGGGUUUUGUUCAAGGAUCAGAAAAAGGGUUAUUUCUCAAUCAUGUUCAAGCAACAUCAAAAGCCUCAUAUUUGUUUUGUUCAUAAUAACAAAUAUUCAAAUUCAAACAAUAAUCAUGGGCCCAAUUAUCCUACUGAAAAUCAAAAACAAACACACAAAAAGGGAGGUUCAUUUGGUUCACAGUAA
Molecule: non-coding RNA, 293 nt
Organism: Vicia faba (fava bean)
Lineage: Eukaryota; Viridiplantae; Streptophyta; Magnoliopsida; Fabales; Fabaceae
Source: the annotation of a GenBank genome assembly